Molecule: ribosomal RNA, 461 nt
Filed under: Brachymonas sp. canine oral taxon 015
Lineage: Bacteria; Pseudomonadati; Pseudomonadota; Betaproteobacteria; Burkholderiales; Comamonadaceae
Description: bacterial SSU rRNA
Rfam family: Bacterial small subunit ribosomal RNA
Source: RNAcentral
GAGUUUGAUUCUGGCUCAGAUUGAACGCUGGCGGCAUGCUUUACACAUGCAAGUCGAACGGCAGCACAGGGAGCUUGCUCCUGGGUGGCGAGUGGCGAACGGGUGAGUAAUGUAUCGGAACGUGCCUGGUAGUGGGGGAUAACCACUCGAAAGAGUGGCUAAUACCGCAUGAGAUCUCUGGAUGAAAGCGGGGGACCUUUGGGCCUCGCGCUACUGGAGCGGCCGAUAUCAGAUUAGGUUGUUGGUGGGGUAAAGGCCUACCAAGCCUGCGAUCUGUAGCUGGUCUGAGAGGACGACCAGCCACACUGGGACUGAGACACGGCCCAGACUCCUACGGGAGGCAGCAGUGGGGAAUUUUGGACAAUGGGCGCAAGCCUGAUCCAGCAAUGCCGCGUGCAGGACGAAGGCCUUCGGGUUGUAAACUGCUUUUGUACAGAACGAAAAGUCUCUGGCUAAUAUCU